Molecule: ribosomal RNA, 798 nt
Filed under: Glomeromycotina sp.
Lineage: Eukaryota; Fungi; Glomeromycota
Description: SSU rRNA
Rfam family: Eukaryotic small subunit ribosomal RNA
Source: RNAcentral
AUCAACUUUCGAUGGUAGGAUAGAGGCCUACCAUGGUGGUAACGGGUAACGGGGUGUUAGGGCACGACACCGGAGAGGGAGCCUGAGAAACGGCUACCACAUCCAAGGAUGGCAGCAGGCGCGCAAAUUACCCAAUCCCGACACGGGGAGGUAGUGACAAUAAAUAACAAUACGGGGUUCUUUUGGAUUUCGUAAUUGGAAUGAGUACAAUUUAAAUCUCUUAACGAGGAACAAUUGGAGGGCAAGUCUGGUGCCAGCAGCCGCGGUAAUUCCAGCUCCAAUAGCGUAUAUUAAAGUUGUUGCAGUUAAAAAGCUCGUAGUUGAAUUUCGGGAUCAAUACGUCGGUCGUGCCUCUGGUAUGUACUGGUGUUAUUGAUUUCUCCCUUCUGAUGAACCAUGAUGUCAUUCAUUUGGUGUUGUGUGGAGUCAGGACUGUUACUUUGAAAAAAUUAGAGUGUUUAAAGCAGGCUCACGCUUGAAUACAUUAGCAUGGAAUAAUGAAAUAGGACGUUCGAUCCUAUUUUGUUGGUUUCUAGGAUCAACGUAAUGAUUAAUAGGGAUAGUUGGGGGCAUUAGUAUUCAAUUGUCAGAGGUGAAAUUCUUGGAUUUAUUGAAGACUAACUACUGCGAAAGCAUUUGCCAAGGAUGUUUUCAUUAAUCAAGAACGAAAGUUAGGGGAUCGAAGACGAUCAGAUACCGUCGUAGUCUUAACCAUAAACUAUGCCGACUAGGGAUCGGAUGAUGUUAAUUUUUUAAUGACUCAUUCGGCGCCUUACGGGAAACCAAAGUGUUUGGGUU